UGGGGAAUUUUGGACAAUGGGCGAAAGCCUGAUCCAGCCAUGCCGCGUGAGUGAAGAAGGCCUUCGGGUUGUAAAGCUCUUUUAGUCGGAAAGAAAGAGUUGCAAUGAAUAAUUGUGAUUUAUGACGGUACCGACAGAAAAAGCACCGGCUAACUACGUGCCAGCAGCCGCGGUAAUACGUAGGGUGCGAGCGUUAAUCGGAAUUACUGGGCGUAAAGGGUGCGCAGGCGGUCUUGCAAGUCAGAUGUGAAAGCCCCGGGCUUAACCUGGGAAUUGCGUUUGAAACUACAAGACUAGAGCGCAGCAGAGGGGAGUGGAAUUCCAUGUGUAGCAGUGAAAUGCGUAGAGAUGUGGAAGAACACCGAUGGCGAAGGCAGCUCCCUGGGUUGACACUGACGCUCAUGCACGAAAGCGUGGGGAGCAAACA
RNAcentral lists this ribosomal RNA (427 nucleotides) under uncultured bacterium. Its description in RNAcentral is "bacterial SSU rRNA". It matches the Rfam family "Bacterial small subunit ribosomal RNA", at positions 355 to 774 of the family's 1533-position model. The record is from RNAcentral.